This 7954-nucleotide long non-coding RNA is filed under the name Medicago truncatula (barrel medic). RNAcentral's name for it is "long non-coding RNA (MTRU_LNC003682)". The stretch from base 5589 to 5661 matches the Rfam family "MIR5272 microRNA precursor family". The record is from RNAcentral. Lineage: Eukaryota; Viridiplantae; Streptophyta; Magnoliopsida; Fabales; Fabaceae.
AUGAACAAAGUUAAUAAAUCUCAAGUUAUAGUUCUCUCUAUCUUACUUCUUCUCCUUGUGAUCACACCCUUGUUACCUUCCUCUCUCAGGCCUACUUACCUUUACUUAAUCUUCAACAUCCUUAUCAUUGCACUUGGAGCUGAAGCCGGUCUUUUGUCGGUGCUCUCCGAACCUUCUGAAGACAAAAAGCAACAUGUUUCUGUUACACAACCGAAACAUGAAAUGCUAGAACAAGAAGAGAAAGAAGCAUCUAACAUAAUAAACAAUGCAUAUUCUGUUUCAGAAGAACAAAAUGAAAACAAGCCUAAGGUUGUUGAAAAAUCUGUAUCUGAGAAGAAGAUUGUGUAUGUUGAUGUUGGUGUUAGUAAAGUGGAUAAGGUGAAAAAAUGUCCUUCAAUGCCAAGUAUUUUUUUCAUAGAAGAUGGAGAAGAUGAUCUAGAAGUGAAGGAUGAGGAGGUUGAAGUAGAAGAUGAGAUUUGUGGUGUUAAUGGUCAAGAACUUUUUGCAAAAGCUGAAGCUUUCAUUGGAAAUUUCUACAAGCAGUUGAAGAUGCAGAGAGAGGAAUGCUGGGAUUCUUAGUAAACCUAUUUAGGACUUAAGUAUUUUUUAUUUUUUUAUCAAGAAUAAAUAUUUUUCUAUGUUGUUAAAUUAGGAACACUAGUUGUUGUGAGAGGAUCCAUUGUACAUAUUUUGAUUUGGAAUUGGAGGUUAUGUUAUAUUCAACUCUCAUUAUCAUCAUAUAAAGUUCAUGUUACAUAUGGUGAAACUCAUCACGUUAAUUUGUUUCACUCUAAGUUUGACUUAGUGGAUUAGAGUGAUAAGGAGAGGAAGAAGGUUAGAGAAUCUAUAUCCAACUAUAGGAGUGUCAAAAUCAGCUGUAAUAGAUAAUGCACUUUUUUUCUUUUUUCUUUUCUGGUUCGACCCCGAUCCCUGCAUAUAAUAUGCAAUUUCUCUAUCAACUGAGCUAAAUUUACGGGGAUUAGAUAAUGCACUUUUUAAGCGAAUGUAAUUAAUCAAUCUUUGACUAAACUUAACCUUUCAACAUUAUAUUCAUUAAUUGAUUGAGGGCUUGUGAGAUGAGUCAACUACUUACUACAUGUUAUGAAUAAUUAUAAGUUAGUGGAUGUUCAUUCUUGGUCUUCCACCUUCCUAUAACCCCCAUUAGUAAAUGUAUGGUUAUAGUGGUCCUUAAUUGAUUUGAUCAUUCACUUAGGACCUAUAUUGUAAUGUAAAGAACACACUUGUGAAGUAAUACAAUACACUCUUAUGUUCUCUCUUUGUUUCUUUCUCUCUAUUCUUAUAUACUUUAUAAUAUCUUGCAAUGCUAAGAAUCAAUUUCAUAACACAUUAUGAGCACGAAGCUAUGCCAAUUUGAGGUAAUACUAAUUCUUGUUUUUUAUGAUAUAACUUAUUGUGUUGUAUGCUUGUACGUAUAGAAAAUGUGUAGAAAUUCUAAUAGCAACAUGAUGUAUAUAAGUUAUAUAUAAGUAUGUUUCUGCAAUCCCUUCUCUGACUGUUAUGAUUUGCCUCCAUCAUCAUUACUUGAUGCGUUGAAAUUCAUUGUUUUUAUUUACUCAUUAGUUGUUGAAUUUUUGAAUGACGAUUUGUUAUCAAAGUUGUGAUCUCUGUAUUAACAGAAAUCAGUGACCACAUUAGCCUUUUUUUUUUUUUUUUUUGAGGGACACAUUAGCCUUUUUAUUAUCGAAAGAUGUGAACAAUAUAUAGCAGCUGGUAUUAUAACAGAAGAUAUUAUAUAAAAUUGAAUCCAACCUAUAUCAUAUAAUACUUAUGGCUCUCAUCAUACAAUUUUCAUUUAGUUAUGCCUCAUAAUUCAAAUCAUGUGAAGUUUAAAUAAAUUUUCGCAUGAUCUUGAGGUAAUAUUGAUUCUCAUUACUUCUUUUUAUGAUAUUUAGUUGAGAUUGCUCAUCAAAUGAUAUUUGAUUUUAGUGGUUGAUAUUUUUCUUGAUCCAUAUUAGUUCAACGUAAGAAAAUUUUCAUUCUUUCAUUCAUAAUAUAUUCAUGCUAAAUUGUUUGAUUGAUCUCCUUCAAACCUCUAUUUGCUAAAUGUAAUUUUUAUGAUUAUGUGAGCAAUGAUAUUAAUCUUUUUGACAAUUGCCGCAGUAAACUAGAAAUACAUACGAUUUUUUUUAAUUUUUUUUUUCUUUCUUUCUAUAUUUUGGGUUCGAAAAUCAUAUAUUAGAUUUCUCUCCUAACCAUGUGCAUAUUUAAACAUGAGUUCCUCCAUAAAAGAGAACUUUUUAUUGAUUUGUUUGGAAUUCACUUGUUAAUACUUGUGCACGCAUCAACUUCUUCAUAUUUAUUAAUAUCAUCUCUUAUUGCGUCACAAUUUUUAAAUUUUACUAUGAAUUUUAUUUAACUUGUUUAUAGGUUUCAUACUAUAUUUAUAAAGUACUUUUCUACUUGGGUCUUGUGACUAAAAAUCAAUAGAUUUAUUUUUCUGAAAUUUCAAAAAGAAUUCUUCAAAAUGCCAUAGGUAUGAAGAAAAUAUUUAUUUAUUUUUUUAUUCAUUUUAAAUUCCGGAGGAAUUUAACAUUAAAAUAUCCCUGAAGGAUUGUACAAACAAUAAAGAUAUUAUGAUAUAAUUCUUGAAGAACUAUGUUUUCUCUUAAUAUUAAAGCAUCUUGGAAGGAUUGCUCAAAGAAUGAAUAUUAUUUUUAUAAUGUUUAUGAAGAUUUGAGAUAUGGUUCUAGAAGAACUGAUAAGUUAACAUCAAGUAUUUGUGAAAGAUUUGCAAAAUAAAAAUAUUGUGAUUUUCCUUUGUCAUUGUCGAUAGAGAUUUGUGGUUGAGUUCUUGAAGAACUAGAUAUUCAUUCAUAAUUUAAAUAUAUAAGAUCUAUUUGAUCUUAGUAUAAGUUGAAUUUGCUCCUGAAGUAACAAAAUCGAGAAAAUAAUAUCAAGAAUUGAUAUAGUAGAGAUUAUCAUUUAUAUGAUACAUGCGAAGAUGGUAAAACUUUAUUAUAACUUUUGAUGAUUAUGAUUUUUGCUACUAAUGAGUUAUGAGAAGGCAUAUAAAUUAGAGAUUAAAAUUUAAGAACAAUAUUGUGUUGAAUUAGAAGAGUUCCUGAAGAGCUAACACAUUUAAAGAGAAAAUAUGUUUAUUUCUAUGUCAUUUGAAAUGCUUCUGAAGUAGCAAAAUAAGUGAGUAUCUUCAAGAAUAUUUUUGAAAGAUCAGUCACAUUUGUAAUUGAACAAAGAGUGACUCUAUUAUAUGGAAUUCCUCGGUACUUAAUUACAGCCGGCUCCAUAAUUCGGCAGUUAACUGCCGAGGAGCAUUUGGAUAAAUUACUCGUGUUUUUCAGCCAAUACAUAUGUGUGAACAACAAUUCUCCUUAUUUCUAUGCUAAUUCAAAAAAUUACCCCAUGUAAAUUUUGUAUUGAAGAAUCUUGCCAUGCUCUAGUCUUGUCAAAGAAAAAAGUGCAAUGCAAGUGCCAUCAUCCAUUAGUCUCAUAAGGAAUCCAAAUCUAGUGUCGUUUGACUCAAAAGUUUGUAUUGCUAGUAAGAAACGUGAUCGAAUAUGUAAUUUUAGGAUCUCAUAUUUCUUCAUUUAUGGUAACAAAAUUAUAUGAAUGAAAUCAACAACGUUAUAAAAAGAAUAUGUAUUAAAGAAUUAAAUUUAAUUAAGGGAAAAUUUAGGUGUAUUUCCUUAUUUAAUUUCAGGUUUGAAAUUCCUCGGCAGUUAACUGCUAAAAUUUUCCUCGGCAGUUAACUGCAGCCGAUUCUUUAAAAUUUCAGUAAUUAACUGCCAAUGGACAUUUGAAUAAUUUACUCAUGUUUCUCAAUCAAACCAAAUGUGUCAACAACAAUACUCAAGUAUUUUCUUAACACGGGUGUGAAACACUAGUAUGUGAAUCUUAGUCAUACAACAAUAAAUUAAUAGUCCAGUAAAAAAAAAUGAUCCGUUAUUAAGUAACGUGACUUAAAAAAAAUGAACCACUUACUAUUUAGAUGUGACACAUUUUGCAGCGUUAUUGGUUUUCCAGUGGCUCCACAUCUCUUUAGUCGCUCCAUUCACAGGUCGUGAUCAUUUUCUUCAGUUCGGGUAUCUUGUGAGAUUACCGCGUUCUUCACAUUCGAUUUUUUAGAUAAUUUGGCUAGCUUGUGUCUAUGUCAUUUGGAAAGAAUGGAAUAACAGAGUUUUUCAUCAGAAGGUUAUGGAUUCGCAAAGCAUAGCGGACAAGGUCAAAAGACAAUCUUUCCUUUGACUGAAAUCUAAUAUGCCCACUUUUGUUUUCAGUUAUCAAGACGGGCGGCGCCACCCUUUAGCUUGUAUGGGUGUAUUGACGUAAUCUUCUUAUUAUUUCGGUUUUUCCUUUCAUCACGGUGAUCUUUUAUUUAGCACCAAUGAAUUGACAUUGUAAAUUGUUUUGGGUGUUUGUCUUUUGCACAUUUUGUGCGAGAUGAAUUACCUUUGAUGAUCUACAUAUUUCAUUUUGACUUGUUAAAAAAAUUAUGACUUUAAGUUUUUAUCUUACUCAUAGUUUUUUCAAAAAUAUAAUUAAGUUUUUAUCUUACUCAUAGUUUUUUCAAAAAUAUAAUGGAUGUAUAUAUAAAUAUGAGCGAGUAUCUCAUUUCAAUAACGGUGUAAUUAUAUUUGCAAAAAUGUGUGUCAAUUUUGUGACAGGAUAUACAUGAAGCUGGUGACAACUAGACCUCAGUAGUUACAAGUAAUAAUAAUUCAAUUUCUCUGUCAUAUGAAAAGCAUUUGCUCAUACUAGCUGUUUUGGUGUUUUUUAUGGGUUUAUUUAUUAUUUACUUAAUUGCAUUUUUUAUUCUUAGUUUUAACCCGCUUAUAUAAUUGGUUCAUUUUUUGUCAAAACAUUUGAAUGAGAAACUAUGAAAUUAUAUUUUGAAAAAAGAACCAAUUAAAACGAAUAAGUCUUUCAUUCAAAUGUUUUAACAAAAAAUGGUAAGUUAACAAAAAUUUUCUUUGUCGUGACAUAAAAUCUAAUUAACUGGGACGAUUCUUCGUCAACAGGUUUUAUGUCAUGUCAAUAAAUAACUUGACAUAUCACUUUCAUAACAAAGAUUUCAACAAGAGACAAAAAUACUAGAUUUUAAAAAAGAGAUAAUAAAUUUCAUGAGCAAGUGAAAAAGAAGAUCAAUUCCAAUUUCUGUGACUUAUAAGAAAUUAUAUCCGUAUAAAAUACAAGAAUUGAAAGCUUGAAAUUGUGUACAACUUUGUGAAGACCAUAUAAUGAUCUCAAUCAAUCAUGAUAGAUAGAUGGGGUCAUCAAUCAAAAUACUAAAGAUUCUUUCUUACUUCAGUGCUAAAAAUUCCAUUCAUGUUUUUUUUCUUCAUAUAUAUGUAGUUGUGGCCAUACGUGGGAGAAGGGUCCAUAUAAUAUGCAAAGGCAUAUUGUAAAAGAUCCUUAAUUAUCUUACUUUUUUUUAAUGAUUUGUUCCCCACCAAUAUUCUUCACCUCCAUGAAUAUGCAGAGUAACCAAAAUUCCAUAUUGUUGUCAUUCUUGAUCCUAUCUCAGAGUUAGUGUGUGUUUGGUAUCACGGCGGGGAGAAUUGAUUUUGAUAGAAUUGAGUUUGAGAAAAUUGAUUUUGGUUAAAAGUGAGUUAGAUAUGAAUUGAUUAUGUUUGGAUACGCUUAAUUAAAAGUGAUUCUUUUGAGUUGAUAUUGUUUGGAUACAUUGAAUCAAAAUUGAUUGUGAAUGUAUAAUGACCAUAUUAUCCCUUUAGUAUUUAAUUGUAGAAAAUUUGGCAUUUUAUAAAAAAUAAAAAUAAAAAAUAAGAAUAAAAAAGAUUGGACCUUAUCCUUUAACCCAUUGUCAUCGUCUUCUCUAACCAAGAAAAUCUACUCCCCCACUCACAAGAGUCGCAACAACAGCAAAAAAAAGUCUAUAUUGUACUCCAUUGAUGCACCAAGGCAAGAACUGAAAUGUCCACUUCUAGCGUAAUCAAACAAAUUCGUUUCAUUUUCUCUUUUUAAGUUUAAUUCGUCAAAUUUUCCCCUCUCUUAUCUCUAAGUUUAAUCAAACAAAUUUGUUUUAUUGACACUACAAUUUCUGAAAUCAACUGGUAAGAAAACAAUAAAAGGAAUAGGCAUUAAGAAAUGCAGAGAUGGAAGACAAAUUGAAAUGGGUUGGGCAAGAGGAACUGGAAAGCCGAACAGAUGUAAGGGAAAAGAGAGAGGUGAUGGUGAGGGUAAAGAAGGAAAAAUGUGAGUUAUAUAAAUGUCAGUUAAAUAUAAUAGAAGAAUUGAUUCUAGCCCACUGCAGAAGCUGAGAUUUGUAGCUUCUCAUAAAAUUGAUUUUGAAAGACAAAAUCACUUUUAGAAAAGAAAACCAAACAUGAUGGAAAAUAAAGAAACCACGGUGAAGGUCUCCAAACGGCGUUUGAGGCUAAAAAAAGCCAUACCAAACAGGCACUUAAGCAACUAUUUAACAGUGAAAGUGAAAUUAAGUGAGAAAAUUACUCUUUUCACUUCUCAAAUUUCUCUUCUAACACAAUUUUUUCAUUGAUCGACGAGUCGUAUAUUUUCUUGUGUGACAAGUAAAACUUCAACUUCCAAAUGUUAUAAUGUCAUAUCAUCCUAAUAUUUGUGCCAAAACUCAACUAAUCAACUUAAUAUCUUGUUUCUAAUAUGUCAUACAAAUUAACUAAAUAUUUAAUAAGCUCCUAAAACAAUAUCACAAAAGAAUGUAUAAAAGAAGUAUAGAAGAAGAAAUGAUUAAUUCAAUUGUUUAAAUAAAUAUCCGUAAUUGAACCAAAAAAAAAUAUCUGUAAUAUGAUAAGUUUGAUAUUCAUCAUAAAAUAAAUUAACAAGUUGGUUUGCAAGUAGCAAUUCUUAUAUCCAAAUUUAGUUAAAUUUUGUGAUAUCAUUAUAUCAUCAAUUUGGUAAUAGUAUAUAUAUGUAGAACUAUUUCUACCAAUCAACAGCCUAGCAUACUACCUGCUCAUCAGGUAGGCACCUCAUAAUUGACCUCAAGAAUUGCAUGACAGACAAAAUAAUGAAAUAUAUAGCCUGUUUUAUUUCUACAAUUAAGAAUUCCACAUGAAUACACACCACUUUUAACAAUCUUGAUUAACAAUGAAUUUUUAUUGAUAGCCACUUACAUUUGUAAUGUGUAAGAAUAAUGUUUCUUAAAGGAAAUAUCUAAGUUGGUACUUGAAAUUGUAAGCAUUAUUCAACUUAGUUUCCAUCAUUAUAAAUAUAGCAAAACUAUUUAUGAAAUUACAGAUUUGCCCUUUUGUCUAUAUUUGUUAUCCAAUGCAUCCUGAGAUUAUUAUUAGGUUAGAGCAUCCAGGUCCAUACUCCCGAUAUUUGUGCUCUUAGUUUUAAACUUGUCUUUUAUAUUAUUAAGUUAAUGUUAUUUUAGUCCUUGUAAAUAUCAAUAAAUGGACGGAUUAAAUUUAAAUUUUACAAUUUCAAAGAUCAUUUGAAAAACCACAAUUUCAAGAGUAUUUAUUGUUUUUCUUAGAAAUUUUCUGCCUUCCCUCACAAUAUUUUUGUACUUUCUUAGAGUGACACUGUCAAUAGUAAAAUAUCUAUUAUUCUCAAAAACAAUGAUGUAACCAACAAAUUCCACUAUUUGUCUCUCUACUUCUCUCUGAUCUCUUUCCACCUUUAUGUCCUCUAUAUAUAAUGUCUAGAACACCACACUCAAUCCCAUGCUUUUUCUUCCUACUACUUUUUACUACCACCAACUCUUAUAUUCCCCUUCAUCUUUUUUUAUCAUUCAAAGUUUCUUUCACUACUUUUUUUCACUCUCUAAUCAUGACCAUGAACAAAGUUGAUAAAUCUCAAGUAAUAGUUCUCUCUUUCCUAGCUUUUCUCCUUGUGAUCACACCCUUCUUACCUUCUUUUCUUAGGCCCAGUUACCUUUACUUAAUCUUCAACCUCCUUAUCAUUGCACUUGGAGCUGAAGCUGGACUUCUCUCAGUAUUCUCUGAGCCUUCAGAAGACAGAAAACAACAUAUUU